AUUGAACGCUGGCGGCAGGCUUAACACAUGCAAGUCGAGCGAGCGGCGGACGGGUGAGUAAUGUCUGGGAAACUGCCUGAUGGAGGGGGAUAACUACUGGAAACGGUAGCUAAUACCGCAUACCAUCAGAUGUGCCCAGAUGGGAUUAGCUAGGAGGUGGGGUAAUGGCUCACCUAGGCGACGAUCCCUAGAUGGUCUGAGAGGAUGACCAGCCAAACUGGAACUGAACAACGGUCCAGACUCCUACGUGAGGCAGCAGUGGGGACUAUUCCACAAUGGUCGAAAGCCUGCUGCAGCCAUGCCGCGUGUGUGAAGAAGGCCUUCGGGUUGUAAAGCACUUUCAGCGAGGAGGCGUUACUCGCAGAAGAAGCACCGGCUAACUCCGUGCCAGCCGCCGCGGUAAUAC
Molecule: ribosomal RNA, 406 nt
Filed under: uncultured bacterium
Lineage: Bacteria
Description: partial 16S ribosomal RNA
Rfam family: Bacterial small subunit ribosomal RNA
Source: RNAcentral